GCCUUCGUGGUGUAAUGGCCAGCACACUCGCCGCGUAUUGGAGAGGUCCGAGGUUCGAAUCCCGGUGAAGGCA
Molecule: non-coding RNA, 73 nt
Organism: Stegodyphus mimosarum
Lineage: Eukaryota; Metazoa; Arthropoda; Arachnida; Araneae; Eresidae
Source: Rfam